GCUGCAGCCCCCACAGACAACCAAGAUUGACGUGUACAGUUUUGGAAUAGUAAUGUGCGAAGUAGUAACCAGAACAUUUUCUGAAGACUGGCAAUUCUCUAGGCGUUUAAACAAUGUCUCAAGUCCACCCUCUCAUCACUUCCUGCGUCCGUGAUUCUCCUUACGAUAGACCCUCAACUCUGCGCAGUUAAGGCCUGGGUCAGGCACUGAUAAGAUUAAUUUUAUACAUUGCCAACAUUUUAUGUAGAUCAUGUAGAUCAUGUAGUGUUAAUGAGAUUCAUAAUGUUUAUUAAUGUUAUUCAUUGCAUGUGACGUCAUAAGGUCAAUGUAUUUGCUUAGCUAGCUGCUAGAACUAUUAUAGAUUAUCUUUGGCAACAAAUACGGCGGACUUAAACAAGGCAAACCAGAAAAACUUUACUGCACUGGAUUUGGUCAAGCGAAUGCAGAGAUACAGCGUUUUGAAGAACACUAGUCAGGGAAAAAUUCGUACAAAAAUUUACCGCAUUUUAAUGUACUUGGGCGGGACUUAUGAAAUUUGUUGUUAAUACCGGAAAUGAUCUUAAAGUUAGCAUAUCUGCUGAACCGCUUGGUCUAUUCUCUUUUAAAAAAGUAUGAAAUGGACACUCAGGACUCAGGAGUUAACAUUGUAACCAUUUGAUAUCUAUUAUGAAGUUUAUAAUGUUUCUGUAAUGUAUAUCUUUAUGAUGUCCCUAUAAUAGUAUGAUGUCUCCUGCUUCAGAGAGUUCUUUUGGAUUUAAAGUAACCAUGCUAUCUUUUCAGUAUAUUGUAUCAUGUUUCAGAACUCUCAUCAAUGUCCACCUUACGCUUGUAUCUGUUUCUUGAUCUUUAUAAGCAACUUUUCUGUCAAUUUCAUUUGGUCUAAAUAAUUCGUUUUUAGUGUGA
Molecule: long non-coding RNA, 903 nt
Organism: Halichondria panicea
Lineage: Eukaryota; Metazoa; Porifera; Demospongiae; Suberitida; Halichondriidae
Exons: 2
Source: RefSeq, a predicted model, not a curated record